UGGCUCAGUUGGUAGAGCGUGGUGUUUGCAACGCCAGGGUUGUGGGUUCAAUUCCCAC
This is a non-coding RNA of Salmo salar (Atlantic salmon), 58 nucleotides long. Lineage: Eukaryota; Metazoa; Chordata; Actinopteri; Salmoniformes; Salmonidae. The record is from Rfam.